GCGGCGAACGGGUGAGUAACGCGUGAGCAAUCUACCUUAGUUACUGGGAUAGCCCGAGGAAACUCGGAUUAAUACCGGAUAUUCUUAUUUUUUCACAUGAAGUUUUAAGGAAAGGUCAGCCGAACUAAGAUGAGCUCGCGUUCUAUCAGCUAGUUGGUGGGGUAAAAGCCUACCAAGGCUACGACGGAUAGCUGGUCUGAGAGGACGAUCAGCCACACUGGGACUGAGACACGGCCCAGACUCCUACGGGAGGCUGCAGCAGGGAAUAUUGCGCAAUGAGCGAAAGCUUGACGCAGCGACACCGCGUGUGGGAUGACGGUUCUAGGAUUGUAAACCACUUUCAGGAGGGAAGAAAAUGACGGUACCUCCACAAGAAGACCCGGCC
Molecule: ribosomal RNA, 385 nt
Filed under: uncultured bacterium
Lineage: Bacteria
Description: bacterial SSU rRNA
Rfam family: Bacterial small subunit ribosomal RNA
Source: RNAcentral